UGGCUCAGCGGUUAAGAGCACUCGACUGCUCUUCCAGAGGUCCUGGGUUCAUUUCCCAG
Molecule: non-coding RNA, 59 nt
Organism: Rattus norvegicus (Norway rat)
Lineage: Eukaryota; Metazoa; Chordata; Mammalia; Rodentia; Muridae
Source: Rfam